AAUCGGCUUAGUUAACAGGCAGAAAUCAAAAAUUUGUUAAAUCAAAUACCAAGGUUUUUCGAGUAGGCAAUUACUGUCAACCAGCGAUUGUCCUUCAAAUAGCCUUGGACAUCC
Small nucleolar RNA from Mercurialis annua (annual mercury), 114 nucleotides. RefSeq annotates it as small nucleolar RNA U19. The record is from RefSeq and is a predicted model, not a curated record. Lineage: Eukaryota; Viridiplantae; Streptophyta; Magnoliopsida; Malpighiales; Euphorbiaceae. The transcript has a single exon.